Molecule: ribosomal RNA, 253 nt
Filed under: uncultured bacterium
Lineage: Bacteria
Description: partial 16S ribosomal RNA
Rfam family: Bacterial small subunit ribosomal RNA
Source: RNAcentral
UACGGAGGGUGCAAGCGUUAUCCGGAUUCAUUGGGUUUAAAGGGUGCGCAGGCGGGAUUUUAAGUCAGUGGUGAAAGCCCGAGGCUCAACCUCGGAACUGCCAUUGAUACUGAAAUUCUUGAAUGUAGUUGAUGUGGGCGGAAUGUGCCAUGUAGCGGUGAAAUGCUUAGAUAUGGCACAGAACACCGAUCGUGAAGACAGCUCACAAAGCUAUUAUUGACGCUCAGGCACGAAAGCGUGGGGAUCAAACAGG